CUAAAAUUGAAUUCAUAGCAAUUUUAUAUCUUGUAAAAUAAAAAAAUGUUCGGGAGAUUUUGGAAUCCGUAAUAACGAAGAAAUCUUCAUGAUGAAGUAGCUGAUGGGGCAGUCUAAAGACGCACCAAGAUAAUCAAAAAGUUAUUCUUCUGAUACUGCAGGAAAUAUUGACACGCCAGCUGAAUAGUUGAAAUUCUAUUUCAAGACGCUCUCAUGCGCUAUACUUUAUUCCAAUCAUCUAUAAAUUAUAUCCCUACUGAAGAAAAAAUGUAGGUAUUUUGAAUAGACAUAAUUCUAAAAUAGAUCAAUAUUACUGCAUACAUUAUUUAGUAUUCUCAUUUUAGUACACGAAAAAAGAUUGGAUUCUUCACAAUUGUCAUUUCAUUAGUCUUUUUAAACAUAGUUUACUGAAAACAUGGCAUGAAAGAGCUUAACAUUUGAAAUUUAGAUAAAGAAAAUCGUUUUUGUACAUGAUAAUACCCUGAAAAGAUACACGUGUUGAAUGGCAUCAUUGUCUGGGUGUUAUUGUGUGCAGACUUGAGAACAUGUUUGUCACCUGCCAUUAUCUUUUCAAUUUUUCAUUGUGGAAAGUGGUGUAGCUGGUGUGAAUAGAAAUGAAAAUGUCCUUCUAAAAAUGACAGUAUAAAGUGCUUUAUACAAUUUACUAUAGUUCUCAAUCGUUGUGCAUGUUUAUAAUAAAUCCUUACCUUUUUUUAGCGUAAUACUGAAUGAUAAACACCUUUUGCACUUGCUGAAACACUCUCUAAUCACCAAUAAAAAUUUUGUGCAAUA
Long non-coding RNA from Xenia sp. Carnegie-2017, 792 nucleotides. RefSeq lists it as uncharacterized. NCBI's taxonomy places the organism in Eukaryota, Metazoa, Cnidaria, Anthozoa, Malacalcyonacea, Xeniidae. The transcript is spliced from 2 exons. The record is from RefSeq and is a predicted model, not a curated record.